UCAGAGUGAACGCUGGCGGUAGGCCUAACACAUGCAAGUCGAACGGCAGCACAGGAGAGCUUGCUCUCUGGGUGGCGAGUGGCGGACGGGUGAGGAAUACAUCGGAAUCUACUUUUUCGUGGGGGAUAACGUAGGGAAACUUACGCUAAUACCGCAUACGACCUACGGGUGAAAGCAGGGGAUCUUCGGACCUUGCGCGAUUGAAUGAGCCGAUGUCGGAUUAGCUAGUUGGCGGGGUAAAGGCCCACCAAGGCGACGAUCCGUAGCUGGUCUGAGAGGAUGAUCAGCCACACUGGAACUGAGACACGGUCCAGACUCCUACGGGAGGCAGCAGUGGGGAAUAUUGGACAAUGGGCGCAAGCCUGAUCCAGCCAUACCGCGUGGGUGAAGAAGGCCUUCGGGUUGUAAAGCCCUUUUGUUGGGAAAGAAAUCCAGCUGGCUAAUACCCGGUUGGGAUGACGGUACCCAAAGAAUAAGCACCGGCUAACUUCGUGCCAGCAGCCGCGGUAAUACGAAGGGUGCAAGCGUUACUCGGAAUUACUGGGCGUAAAGCGUGCGUAGGUGGUCGUUUAAGUCCGUUGUGAAAGCCCUGGGCUCAACCUGGGAACUGCAGUGGAUACUGGGCGACUAGAAUGUGGUAGAGGGUAGCGGAAUUCCUGGUGUAGCAGUGAAAUGCGUAGAGAUCAGGAGGAACAUCCAUGGCGAAGGCAGCUACCUGGACCAACACUGACA
This 732-nucleotide ribosomal RNA is filed under the name Stenotrophomonas sp. RNAcentral describes it as "bacterial SSU rRNA". It matches the Rfam family "Bacterial small subunit ribosomal RNA", at positions 24 to 745 of the family's 1533-position model. Lineage: Bacteria; Pseudomonadati; Pseudomonadota; Gammaproteobacteria; Lysobacterales; Lysobacteraceae. The record is from RNAcentral.